This 585-nucleotide ribosomal RNA is filed under the name uncultured bacterium. Its description in RNAcentral is "partial 16S ribosomal RNA". It matches the Rfam family "Bacterial small subunit ribosomal RNA", at positions 355 to 937 of the family's 1533-position model. The record is from RNAcentral.
UGGGGAAUAUUGGACAAUGGGCGCAAGCCUGAUCCAGCAAUGCCGCGUGUGUGAAGAAGGCCUUCGGGUUGUAAAGCACUUUUAUCAGGAGCGAAACGCUGUCGGCUAAUACCCGGCGGAACUGACGGUACCUGAGGAAUAAGCACCGGCUAACUUCGUGCCAGCAGCCGCGGUAAUACGAAGGGUGCAAGCGUUAAUCGGAAUUACUGGGCGUAAAGCGUGCGUAGGCGGUUUCUUAAGUCUGCUGUGAAAUCCCCGGGCUCAACCUGGGAAUGGCAGUGGAUACUGGGAGGCUAGAGUGUGUCAGAGGGUGGUGGAAUUCCCGGUGUAGCGGUGAAAUGCGUAGAGAUCGGGAGGAACAUCAGUGGCGAAGGCGGCCACCUGGGACAACACUGACGCUGAGGCACGAAAGCGUGGGGAGCAAACAGGAUUAGAUACCCUGGUAGUCCACGCCCUAAACGAUGCGAACUGGAUGUUGGUCUCAACUCGGAGAUCAGUGUCGAAGCUAACGCGUGAAGUUGACCGCCUGGGGAGUACGGUCGCAAGAUUAAACUCAAAGGAAUUGACGGGGUCAUAGCUGUUUCC